AUCAGAGGCGAUGAAGGACGUGCUAAUCUGCGAUAAGCGUCGGUAAGGUGAUAUGAACCGUUAUACCCGACGAUUUCCGAAUGGGGAAACCCAAUAUCCCAUGGAUAUUAUCAUUAACUGAAUACAUAGGUUAAUGAGGCGAACCGGGAGAACUGAAACAUCUCAGUACCCCGAGGAAAAGAAAUCAACCGAGAUUCCCCUAGUAGCGGCGAGCGAACGGGGAACAGCCCAGAGUCUUAAUCAAUAGCAGCAUCAGGAGAACGGUCUGGAAAGUCCGGCAGUAAAGGGUGAUAGCCCCGUAUCCGAAGAUGCUGUUAUUGUGA
Molecule: ribosomal RNA, 323 nt
Filed under: Shigella sp. FC1655
Lineage: Bacteria; Pseudomonadati; Pseudomonadota; Gammaproteobacteria; Enterobacterales; Enterobacteriaceae
Description: bacterial LSU rRNA
Rfam family: Bacterial large subunit ribosomal RNA
Source: RNAcentral